This 795-nucleotide ribosomal RNA is filed under the name uncultured archaeon. RNAcentral describes it as "bacterial SSU rRNA". It matches the Rfam family "Archaeal small subunit ribosomal RNA", at positions 85 to 879 of the family's 1478-position model. The record is from RNAcentral.
ACUGCUCAGUAACACGUGGACAACCUACCCUGAGGUCGGGGAUAAACCCGGGAAACUGGGUAUAAUACCCGAUAGAUCUAGAUCGCUGGAAUGCUUUUAGGUCUAAAGUUCCGACGCCUCAGGAUGGGUCUGCGGCCUAUCAGGGUAGUAGUGGGUGUAAAGUACCUACUAGCCUACGACGGGUACGGGUUGUGAGAGCAAGAGCCCGGAGAUGGAUUCUGAGACACGAAUCCAGGCCCUACGGGGUGCAGCAGGCGCGAAACCUUUACAAUGCUGGCAACAGCGAUAAGGGGACCUCGAGUGCUACGAUACAAUCGUGGCUGUCUAGUUGCCUAAAAAGCAAUUGAUAGCAAGGGCCGGGCAAGACCGGUGCCAGCCGCCGCGGUAACACCGGCGGCUCGAGUGGUAACCGCUAUUAUUGGGUCUAAAGGGUCUGUAGCCGGCUUAGUUAGUCUCUUGAGAAAUCUGGCCGCUCAACGGUCAGGCGUUCAGGGGAUACUGCUAAAGCUCGAGACCGGGAGAGGUGAGAGGUACUUCAGGGGUAGGGGUGAAAUCUUGUAAUCCUUGAAGGACCACCGGUGGCGAAGGCGUCUCACCAGAACGGAUCUGACGGCAAGGGACGAAAGCUAGGGGCACGAACCGGAUUAGAUACCCGGGUAGUCCUAGCCGUAAACGAUACUCGCUAGGUGUCGGCCACGGUGCGACCGUGGUCGGUGCCGUAGGGAAGCCGUGAAGCGAGCCACCUGGGAAGUACGGCCGCAAGGCUGAAACUUAAAGGAAUUGGCGGGGGAGCAC